RNAcentral lists this ribosomal RNA (2803 nucleotides) under Serratia marcescens. Its description in RNAcentral is "23S ribosomal RNA". It matches the Rfam family "Bacterial large subunit ribosomal RNA". The record is from RNAcentral. Lineage: Bacteria; Pseudomonadati; Pseudomonadota; Gammaproteobacteria; Enterobacterales; Yersiniaceae.
UUAAGUGACUAAGCGUACACGGUGGAUGCCUAGGCAGUCAGAGGCGAUGAAGGGCGUGCUAAUCUGCGAAAAGCGUCGGUAAGGUGAUAUGAACCGUUAUAACCGGCGAUACCCGAAUGGGGAAACCCAGUGUGUUUCGACACACUAUCAUGUCAUGAAUACAUAGUGGCAUGAGGCGAACCGGGGGAACUGAAACAUCUAAGUACCCCGAGGAAAAGAAAUCAACCGAGAUUCCCCCAGUAGCGGCGAGCGAACGGGGAGGAGCCCAGAACCUGAAUCGGCUUGUGUGUUAGUGGAAGCGUCUGGAAAGUCGCGCAGCAAAGGGUGAUAGCCCCGUACACUAAAAUGCACAGGUCGUGAGUUCGAUGAGUAGGGCGGGACACGUGACAUCCUGUCUGAAUAUGGGGGGACCAUCCUCCAAGGCUAAAUACUCCUGACUGACCGAUAGUGAACCAGUACCGUGAGGGAAAGGCGAAAAGAACCCCGGCGAGGGGAGUGAAAUAGAACCUGAAACCGUGUACGUACAAGCAGUGGGAGCACCUUCGUGGUGUGACUGCGUACCUUUUGUAUAAUGGGUCAGCGACUUAUAUUUUGUAGCAAGGUUAACCGUAUAGGGGAGCCGUAGGGAAACCGAGUCUUAACUGGGCGAAUAGUUGCAAGGUAUAGACCCGAAACCCGGUGAUCUAGCCAUGGGCAGGUUGAAGGUUGGGUAACACUAACUGGAGGACCGAACCGACUAAUGUUGAAAAAUUAGCGGAUGACUUGUGGCUGGGGGUGAAAGGCCAAUCAAACCGGGAGAUAGCUGGUUCUCCCCGAAAGCUAUUUAGGUAGCGCCUCGUGAACUCAUCUUCGGGGGUAGAGCACUGUUUCGGCUAGGGGGCCAUCCCGGCUUACCAAACCGAUGCAAACUCCGAAUACCGAAGAAUGUUAUCACGGGAGACACACGGCGGGUGCUAACGUCCGUCGUGAAGAGGGAAACAACCCAGACCGCCAGCUAAGGUCCCAAAGUCAUGGUUAAGUGGGAAACGAUGUGGGAAGGCAUAGACAGCCAGGAUGUUGGCUUAGAAGCAGCCAUCAUUUAAAGAAAGCGUAAUAGCUCACUGGUCGAGUCGGCCUGCGCGGAAGAUGUAACGGGGCUAAACCAUGCACCGAAGCUGCGGCAGCGACGCUUAGGCGUUGUUGGGUAGGGGAGCGUUCUGUAAGCCGUUGAAGGUGGCCUGUGAGGGUUGCUGGAGGUAUCAGAAGUGCGAAUGCUGACAUAAGUAACGAUAAAGCGGGUGAAAAGCCCGCUCGCCGGAAGACCAAGGGUUCCUGUCCAACGUUAAUCGGGGCAGGGUGAGUCGACCCCUAAGGCGAGGCUGAAAAGCGUAGUCGAUGGGAAACAGGUUAAUAUUCCUGUACUUGGUGUUACUGCGAAGGGGGGACGGAGAAGGCUAGGCUAGCCGGGCGACGGUUGUCCCGGUUUAAGCGUGUAGGGGGUGUGACCUGGUAAAUCCGGUUGCAUAUCAACCCUGAGGCGUGAUGACGAUGCACUACGGUGCAGAAGUAGUUGAUGCCCUGCUUCCAGGAAAAUCCUCUAAGCAUCAGGUAACAUUAAAUCGUACCCCAAACCGACACAGGUGGUCAGGUAGAGAAUACCAAGGCGCUUGAGAGAACUCGGGUGAAGGAACUAGGCAAAAUGGUGCCGUAACUUCGGGAGAAGGCACGCUGGCAUGUAGGUGAAGUCCCUCGCGGAUGGAGCUGAAGCCAGUCGAAGAUACCAGCUGGCUGCAACUGUUUAAUAAAAACACAGCACUGUGCAAACACGAAAGUGGACGUAUACGGUGUGACGCCUGCCCGGUGCUGGAAGGUUAAUUGAUGGGGUCAGCCGCAAGGCGAAGCUCUUGAUCGAAGCCCCAGUAAACGGCGGCCGUAACUAUAACGGUCCUAAGGUAGCGAAAUUCCUUGUCGGGUAAGUUCCGACCUGCACGAAUGGCGUAAUGAUGGCCAGGCUGUCUCCACCCGAGACUCAGUGAAAUUGAACUCGCUGUGAAGAUGCAGUGUACCCGCGGCAAGACGGAAAGACCCCGUGAACCUUUACUAUAGCUUGACACUGAACAUUGAGCCUUGAUGUGUAGGAUAGGUGGGAGGCUUUGAAGCGUGGACGCCAGUCUGCGUGGAGCCAUCCUUGAAAUACCACCCUUUAAUGUUUGAUGUUCUAACUCGGCCCCAUAAUCUGGGGUGAGGACAGUGUCUGGUGGGUAGUUUGACUGGGGCGGUCUCCUCCCAAAGAGUAACGGAGGAGCACGAAGGUUAGCUAAUCACGGUCGGACAUCGUGAGGUUAGUGCAAAGGCAUAAGCUAGCUUGACUGCGAGAGUGACGGCUCGAGCAGGUACGAAAGUAGGUCUUAGUGAUCCGGUGGUUCUGAAUGGAAGGGCCAUCGCUCAACGGAUAAAAGGUACUCCGGGGAUAACAGGCUGAUACCGCCCAAGAGUUCAUAUCGACGGCGGUGUUUGGCACCUCGAUGUCGGCUCAUCACAUCCUGGGGCUGAAGUAGGUCCCAAGGGUAUGGCUGUUCGCCAUUUAAAGUGGUACGCGAGCUGGGUUUAGAACGUCGUGAGACAGUUCGGUCCCUAUCUGCCGUGGGCGUUGGAAGAUUGAGAGGGGUUGCUCCUAGUACGAGAGGACCGGAGUGAACGCACCACUGGUGUUCGGGUUGUCAUGCCAAUGGCAUUGCCCGGUAGCUAAGUGCGGAAAAGAUAAGCGCUGAAAGCAUCUAAGCGCGAAACUUGCCUCAAGAUGAGUCUUCCCUGGGCCUUUAAG